This is a long non-coding RNA of Lepidothrix coronata (blue-crowned manakin), 416 nucleotides long. RefSeq lists it as uncharacterized. The transcript has 3 exons. The record is from RefSeq and is a predicted model, not a curated record. Lineage: Eukaryota; Metazoa; Chordata; Aves; Passeriformes; Pipridae.
UUCCUGGCUCCUCUGUUCUAGGCAUCCUAAAGGAGGAUCAUUUAUCCGGCCAAACAAGGCAAAUUUUGGAGUAGAUUUUCUUACUGCAGUAAAGGAUCGGUACGGAUUGAAUGAUAAGCAAGAUGUUCAGUAUGGGACAGAGAAUACAGUAGUAUUUGGGACGAAGACUGUGGAAUUUGUUGGCAUGGAUUCUGUCGCAGAGCAGCAAAGGCAACUGAACAAACUGGUAGAUAUCUCGGUGCGUGAGUGUGCAGUGAGCCAUGCUGGUCAGACAGAGGAAAUCAGCAGAACGUGUGCCAAUAUGAGGCAUAUAAACCUAUCAAAAAAUUUGAUAUCAUCUUGGGAGACAGUAAUAGAUAUUGCUUCUCAAGUUCAGAAUCUGGAAACACUUAAUGUCAGGUAUAAAUAUUCAUAUU